Molecule: long non-coding RNA, 244 nt
Organism: Juglans microcarpa x Juglans regia
Lineage: Eukaryota; Viridiplantae; Streptophyta; Magnoliopsida; Fagales; Juglandaceae
Exons: 4
Source: RefSeq, a predicted model, not a curated record
UGGUCUACAUCAGGUUUCUCGUGAUCACACUUGAGUUUUGUUUAGAAGCGCGAAGAUCGAGAUCUUGUUACAGGAUCUGAAGAAGAAUCGAGAAUCGACCAACUGGAAUCGAUCGACUAAGCGACGGUACUAUGUAGAUGGUAGUACAGUAGUUAUCUCAAAUUACUACUUGUAUUUGUGGAGUUCAAUCUCCAACACUCUUUUGAUCACAACUAUUUUGGACUAGUGUUGUGAUCUCAUUUGU